CUACGGGAGGCAGCAGUGAGGAAUUUUGCGCAAUGGGCGAAAGCCUGACGCAGCAACGCCGCGUGAGUGAUGAAGGCCUUCGGGUCGUAAAGCUCUGUCGGGAGGGAAGAAAUGGUUGUGUGUUAAUACCACAUGAUCUUGACGGUACCUCCGAAGGAAGCACCGGCUAACUCCGUGCCAGCAGCCGCGGUAAUACGGAGGGUGCAAGCGUUGUUCGGAAUUAUUGGGCGUAAAGCGCGUGUAGGCGGUUUUUUAAGUCUGAUGUGAAAGCCCCGGGCUCAACCUGGGAAGUGCAUUGGAAACUGGGAAACUUGAGUACGGGAGAGGGUAGUGGAAUUCCUAGUGUAGGAGUGAAAUCCGUAGAUAUUAGGAGGAACACCGGUGGCGAAGGCGGCUACCUGGACCGAUACUGACGCUGAGACGCGAAAGCGUGGGGAGCAAACAGGAUUAGAUACCCUAGUAU
This 463-nucleotide ribosomal RNA is filed under the name uncultured bacterium. Its description in RNAcentral is "bacterial SSU rRNA". It matches the Rfam family "Bacterial small subunit ribosomal RNA", at positions 339 to 793 of the family's 1533-position model. The record is from RNAcentral.